AAGUCGUAACAAGGUAUCCGUAGGUGAACCUGCGGAUGGAUCAUUAUUUCAAUUUGCAUUUCAUUCGAUUUCAAUCUCAUCAUUGUGAACUGUUUGGUGUUCUGACUUGGACGUUCGCGUUCAACCAGACACUGCUUUUUAAUGAAUACACAACUAAAAACUACAUCUAGAAAUCUUAAAACUUUUAGCAACGGAUCUCUAGGCUCUC
This 208-nucleotide unclassified non-coding RNA is filed under the name fungal sp. RNAcentral's name for it is "partial internal transcribed spacer region". The stretch from base 1 to 46 matches the Rfam family "Eukaryotic small subunit ribosomal RNA", at positions 1786 to 1831 of the family's 1831-position model. The record is from RNAcentral. Lineage: Eukaryota; Fungi.